UCUGAAGCUGGACAUUUGUAUCUGAGAAUGGCCAGUCUCGUCCGAUCUCAGAAGCUAAGAAGGGUUGGGCCCAGUUAGUACUUAGAUGGGAGACCGCCUGGGACUACCAGAAACUUUAGGG
This is a ribosomal RNA of Calidris pygmaea (Spoon-billed sandpiper), 121 nucleotides long. NCBI's taxonomy places the organism in Eukaryota, Metazoa, Chordata, Aves, Charadriiformes, Scolopacidae. The record is from Ensembl.